ACAGCGGAGAGUUUGAUCCUGGCUCAGGAUGAACGCUAGCGGCAGGCUUAACACAUGCAAGUCGAGGGGCAUCGGGAGGGAAGCUUGCUUUCCUUGCCGGCGACCGGCGCACGGGUGAGUAACACGUAUGCAACCUGCCCUCUUCAGGGGGACAACCUUCCGAAAGGGAGGCUAAUCCCGCGUAUAUCGGUUUCGGGCAUCCGUUAUCGAGGAAAGAUUCAUCGGAAGAGGAUGGGCAUGCGGCGCAUUAGCUUGACGGCGGGGUAACGGCCCACCGUGGCGACGAUGCGUAGGGGUUCUGAGAGGAAUGUCAGGCUAGGGAAUGUUUGGAGUGAUAAACUUCUAUUGAAUCAGGAGAAG
Molecule: ribosomal RNA, 360 nt
Filed under: Muribaculaceae bacterium
Lineage: Bacteria; Pseudomonadati; Bacteroidota; Bacteroidia; Bacteroidales; Muribaculaceae
Description: bacterial SSU rRNA
Rfam family: Bacterial small subunit ribosomal RNA
Source: RNAcentral